GUGAAGGGGAGAAAACAAGUGAACCGACCCUGAGAGAGCGUGAAAAGGCACUAGGGCACUUCUAUCUGACUGUGAAACGGUGAAGAAGGGAACUCGCUUAAAGAAACAGCGGACACGAGUUUCACCAACUAACUUUUGCGAGUAUAGGCCUAAUCAACUGAGCGGAGUUUUAAAAAACUAUUUCCAAGCCUCUCUCGUUAUUUCUUUCCCAUCUUUUUAGCGCAUGACCCCGGGACUGCAGAAUACUCAGAGCGGUAAGUGACAAACUCAUCACAAAAUCGGAGGCUGGGGCUCGAGGCAGCAUUUUGGACAUCACUUUUAUUGCAGAGCGUCGCGCCUUGAUUUUAUAGACUUGAGUUGUGAGAGUGACCAUGGUCGGGGAGAUGAGUGAGCAGGUCCGGGAAAGACCAAGGCCCAGCCCGGACUACCUGAUGCAGUUGAUGACGGACCGGAAGGUGAUGAGCUCUCUGCCCAACUUCACUGGCAUCUUCACACACCUGGAGCGGCUCCUAGAAGAAGAGAUAGGUAGAGUGCGCAAGGACAUGUAUAACGACUCGAUGAAUGGAGGUGUGGCCGCCGAGGGGCGGAACUCUGAGGAGCUGCCUAAUGGGAUUGGUCCAGUGGCUCAGCUGCAGGAGAAGCUCUACGUGCCCGUCAAAGAGUACCCCGACUUUAACUUUGUAGGUAGGAUCCUGGGUCCGAGGGGUCUGACAGCCAAACAGCUGGAGGCAGAGACAGGCUGUAAGAUCAUGGUACGAGGGAAAGGAUCCAUGAGAGACAAAAAGAAGGAGGAGCUGAACAGAGGGAAACCUAACUGGGAACAUCUGAGUGAGGAACUCCAUGUACUCAUCACAGUGGAAGACACACACAACAGAGCUCAGAUCAAACUACAAAGAGCCACCGUAGAGGUCAAGAAACUACUCGUACCAGCCGCUGAAGGAGAGGACAGUCUAAAGAAGAUGCAGUUGAUGGAGCUGGCCAUUCUCAAUGGAACCUACAGAGACGCCAACAUCAAGCAACCCACUAUGGCUUUCUCCCUAGCCUCCUCUCAGCAGCCUCGGCUCAUCUCCAGUCCCUCCCCUGUUAUGCAGCAGGCUAUGAGAAACCCCGCCCCUGUUCAGCAGCCCAAUCUCAUGCCUCACCUGAUUCGUCAGAUCCAGAGUCAGCAGGCCCUCAUGCAAGGAGCCAAUCAGCAUGCAGGACUGAUGCAGCAAUCACCUGAAUCAGGAGGAUUCUUCUACACUCCCUACGAAUAUUCCCCCUACACCCUAACCCCAUCUAUACUAGAAUACCCCAUGGACACUAGUGGAGUAUUAGGUAUGGCUUUCCAAACCAAAGGCUGAGAGAUAAACUCCCUCCUACAUAUGGACCUCAGACACACACACACACACACACAUACAUACAUACAUACACCUAUCUGGGAUGGGCCUCUUGACUGUCUUCUUAAUGUAACUGUUUGAUGAUGUCACUGUUAACCCCCUGUGUUUUGGUGUUUUGGUAAUGUGGUUGCGUGGUGAGCAGGAGCGAUGACGGCUAAGGUGCAACGCCACAAUAUGAGGGUCCAUCCUUACCAAAGAGUAGUGAACACCGACAGAGCUGCCACAGCGACUAACCCUUGACCUCUGUACCCACUGAUGACCCGCCCAUCUCCGCCUGUGGCUUGCUCGUUGCCAUGCUCUGGACAACAGCCACGCCCCCCCCAACCCCCCAGGAGUCACCUCUGCCAAACCAACCAGAGACCAGCGCCAUGGUAGUGACCCUUCAGGACCCAAUCAGGACCCAGUCACCAGCCAUGCCCACCCAAACACCACACUUUCAAGCCAUGUGCUCCUUCUAUAGGAACCACUACAUCAAAACCACCCAAUCACAACCCACCCCAACCAAACCCCAGCCAUGCUCUCUGCACGGGUCAGAUAACCAAUCUCUAUACCUUGCCCUGCAUUGAGUCGAUUGGAAGCUAUAGUAUUAUAAUAAUAAAAUAAUAAUAACAGAUAUAUGUAUGAUCAUAACAUAUUCAUGCCCAAUAAGCUAGUCUGACUGUCCCUGUUCUCAAACCCUCAGCGGGGGUCUAGAGAAACCGGAAGCAUCUCAUUUUUCGGGGUGGAGGGUGAGCAGAGAAGAGGCAAAGCCUACAAAAACGGAUGCUUCCGGUUUCUGCCGACCCACUAAGUGUUUUUUUCCACGCCUGCUACGUUAGGUUACCGUCACACAAAAUGUUACUCAGAUCUGGUUUAAUAUGUCACACCAGUUUCACACGAUGUCCUCUCUAAGACUAGGCUUUUCCACCAUGCCUGCCUUUCUACAGUGACCUGAGUCUAUCUAACGGGUACGAUCACACUUCUCCGGGUGCUACAGAGCGAAGAGUCUCAACCAUAGCGUUUGCUUUACCAAUACAGUAUUAUCUGGAGAACAAAGUGCCUUUAUUUAUUCCAAUAGAGAGAUAUGUCACAGACCAGAGCAGCCUUUUUUUAUGAUGGGUUUAUAUUCUCCAUGAAACAUGUCUCAACAAAAGUGAAAGAGAUGUGGUGUAUUAUAAAGGAACCAACUCAAUGUUGUGGUUUCCCAUAAGCCCUACAUAUGUCUUUUGGAUUUAGAAUGAAGUGCCAAAACUGGUCAGUUUCUUCCGUUAGUAUAGUAGGACCUCCUCAGAACAGUGUUAGUUUUGUGUGUUUUCUUUUCUUUUGGGGGGGAAAUGACGUGUAUACUUGUGUGUCUGCCUGGAGAACACACCCUAUUGUAUAGUGUUGUGUUAUUAGAUAUGUGCGUUACAUACCUGAGCUCCUAACUCUCCUCUUGGCCAAGCGGUUGUUUUUACUCCACACAAACCAUCUCAUUCAAGACAAAACAUCUGUUUAUAAUGUAUUUUUAUAUGACAUUUUUUGUAUGUGAGAAAUAACAUUAAAUUAUGUUUUCUGGAAAGAACA
This is an RNA transcript of Oncorhynchus tshawytscha (Chinook salmon), 2924 nucleotides long. It is a transcript of the gene named protein quaking-B, with no coding region annotated. The record is from RefSeq and is a predicted model, not a curated record. NCBI's taxonomy places the organism in Eukaryota, Metazoa, Chordata, Actinopteri, Salmoniformes, Salmonidae. The transcript has 8 exons.